RNAcentral lists this ribosomal RNA (561 nucleotides) under Sporobolomyces pararoseus. RNAcentral describes it as "eukaryotic LSU rRNA". The stretch from base 162 to 315 matches the Rfam family "5.8S ribosomal RNA". Lineage: Eukaryota; Fungi; Basidiomycota; Microbotryomycetes; Sporidiobolales; Sporidiobolaceae. The record is from RNAcentral.
CGGAAGGAUCAUUAUUGAAAACAAGGGUGUCCAAUUUAACUUGGAACCCAAACUUCUCAAUUCUAACUUUGUGCAUCUGUAUUAAUGGCGAGCAACUUCGGUUGUGAGCCUUCACUUACAAAACACUAGUCUAUGAAUGUAAAAUUUUUAUAACAAAUAAAAACUUUCAACAACGGAUCUCUUGGCUCUCGCAUCGAUGAAGAACGCAGCGAAAUGCGAUACGUAAUGUGAAUUGCAGAAUUCAGUGAAUCAUCGAAUCUUUGAACGCAUCUUGCGCUCUCUGGUAUUCCGGAGAGCAUGUCUGUUUGAGUGUCAUGAAUUCUUCAACCCAAUCUUUUCUUGUAAUCGAUUGGUGUUUGGAUUCUGAGCGUUGCUGGCGUUUGCCUAGCUCGUUCGUAAUACAUUAGCAUCCCUAAUACAAGUUUGGAUUGACUUGGCGUAAUAGACUAUUCGCUAAGGAUUCGGUGGAAACAUCGAGCCAACUUCAUUAAGGAAGCUCCUAAUUUAAAAGUCUACCUUUUGAUUAGAUCUCAAAUCAGGCAGGAUUACCCGCUGAACUUA